CAGGGAGACAACAACCGAUUAUGAGUUAUGAAUAUUCAAUUUCAUUCCAUAAUCCUGUCACCUUAGGUCGAUCGGUACCUCAGUAUUAUUGCCAAAAAGGUAAUUAUAUUCAGUUCCUAAACUUGUCUAGGUCACACCCACCAAGGGUACUCCUGGGCCAUUAGCUCAGGUGGUUAGAGCGCACCCCUGAUAAGGGUGAGGUCCCUGGUUCAAGUCCAGGAUGGCCCAUUCGCGUUGGGGGUAUAGCUCAGUUGGUAGAGCGCCUGCUUUGCAAGCAGGAUGUCAGCGGUUCGAGUCCGCUUACCUCCACUGACAACCACCUACUCAAAGAAUCCUCAGGAUACUUUUAAUGGCUGUGACUUGGAUUUGUUCUAAUUUGAUGAACCUAGCUUCUUAUCAUUCCUCUCUUUAAAACUUUUUUAGAUUAGGUUGAUAUGACGCUGGGCUCUCUUUGCAAUUUUAUUUGUAAAGAAGUUUCAGUAGAACCUUGAAAACUGCAUAGUGAGUCUGGAAAGAAUAAAGCAUCUCAUGGAUGCAUUUACUUUCUUGUUUUACGGAAGGUAAAUGUUGAUUCUUGAGCAAGAGUCAAGGCUCUAUAACGUUCUUUCUUUUUUAUUUUUAAAGAAAGUCUGAUUAUUUAUUUGUUUUACACUGCUAACUAUUUUUUAAGUUUAGUUAGCUUGGGUAGCACUAAAUAAAUAAGAAUAGUACAGAUAGUACAGCUCGUUAUAGAGAUUAAU
This 740-nucleotide transfer RNA is filed under the name uncultured cyanobacterium. Its description in RNAcentral is "partial miscellaneous RNA". The stretch from base 237 to 309 matches the Rfam family "tRNA". Lineage: Bacteria; Bacillati; Cyanobacteriota. The record is from RNAcentral.